Molecule: ribosomal RNA, 497 nt
Filed under: uncultured bacterium
Lineage: Bacteria
Description: partial 16S ribosomal RNA
Rfam family: Bacterial small subunit ribosomal RNA
Source: RNAcentral
GAUGAACGCUGGCGGCGUGCCUAAUACAUGCAAGUCGAGCGAACAGAUGAGGGGCUUGCUCCUCUGACGUUAGCGGCGGACGGGUGAGUAACACGUGGAUAACCUACCUAUAAGACUGGGAUAACUUCGGGAAACCGGAGCUAAUACCGGAUAAUAUAUUGAACCGCAUGGUUCAAUAGUGAAAGACGGUUUUGCUGUCACUUAUAGAUGGAUCCGCGCCGCAUUAGCUAGUUGGUAAGGUAACGGCUUACCAAGGCAACGAUGCGUAGCCGACCUGAGAGGGUGAUCGGCGACACUGGAACUGAGACACGGUCCAGACUCCUACGGGAGGCAGCAGUAGGGAAUCGUCCGCAAUGGGCGAAAGCUUGACGGAGCAACGCCGCGUGAGUGAUGAAGGUCUUCGGAUCGUAAAACUCUGUUAUUAGGGAAGAACAAAUGUGUAAGUAACUAUGCACGUCUUGACGGUACCUAAUCAGAAAGCCACGGCUAACUACGUG